RNAcentral lists this ribosomal RNA (254 nucleotides) under uncultured bacterium. RNAcentral's name for it is "partial 16S ribosomal RNA". It matches the Rfam family "Bacterial small subunit ribosomal RNA", at positions 524 to 776 of the family's 1533-position model. The record is from RNAcentral.
UACGGGGGGAGCAAGCGUUGUUCGGAUUUACUGGGCGUAAAGGGCGGGUAGGCGGCCACCGCAAGUCAGUUGUGAAAUCUCCGGGCUUAACCCGGAAAGGUCAACUGAUACUGCGGGGCUAGAGUGCAGAAGGGGCAACUGGAAUUCUCGGUGUAGCGGUGAAAUGCGUAGAUAUCGAGAGGAACACCUGCGGCGAAGGCGGGUUGCUGGGCUGAUACUGACGCUGAGGCGCGAAAGCUAGGGGAGCGAACGGG